This 1544-nucleotide long non-coding RNA is filed under the name Oreochromis niloticus (Nile tilapia). Its description in RNAcentral is "lncRNA (ENSONIG00000030473.1)". The record is from RNAcentral. Lineage: Eukaryota; Metazoa; Chordata; Actinopteri; Cichliformes; Cichlidae.
AUGCUGUUUUUUUAUGCAAGCACAGAACUAUGCAAAUUCCUUCUCACCAAAGAAACUGCUGAUGGGGGCUUUCCUGGCCGGCUCCUUAUCUUUCUGCUCUUUUGCUUCUUUCUGCCUUUUCACCGUUUGACUUUUCGGGCUCUCUUCUGUGCCUCGCGUGUCCUUUUCAACCACCUCCGUUUUGGCUACGGCAGGCCCUUUCUCAUCAUCGUCAUCUGUCUUCGGCUUUGCUUCAUUUUUCUUUUCCGCCUCCUCAGCUUUCUCCUCUUUCUCAUCAGAGCUCUUUUUCUCCACCUGCUCCUCUUUUUCUACAGUUUCUUCCUCUUUGCUCUUGUUCUCCACCUCCUCCUUUUCUGUUUUAUCAGGAGCUUCUUUGUCUCCUUGUCCCUUGCUGGGAACUUGUUCUUUAACAACUGGGGCCUCGUCAUCAUCGCUGUCCAGGAUUUGACGGCAGCGUUUCACAACCUUUUUGAUGGGCGACUCUGCUUCCUGAACACCGUUCUGCACCUUCAGAGGACUCUUGACAGGCCUGGAGAUGACCACAGAAACACACUUCAGAUAUCACAAAUUUUAAAUAAAGCAUUAAAAGGGACCUAUUGGCCUUAUUUCCAUCUCAGUACUUUUAUUCUGUGCUUUUACUUGAGUAGCUUUGCAUGAUUCACAGUUCAACAUAUUAUUUAGCCCAUUAUUUAUAAAUUAUUAAUCUACAUUAACACGUCAGGGGUUUUUUGUCACAAUACAUUUUAUAUUAAAUGGUACAUGCCCUUCUCUACUGUCAUUGUAAUCCAGUGUUAGGUGGUUGCCAGGCAACCUGAGAGCAUCAUAAUAUAAUAUAUAUUGUGAUAAAUCAGACGUCACCAGCACAGAAUUAAAAUUGUGCUUUUAUAAGGUGUGGUUACUUAACACAAGCUACUGCUUGUGUAGAAAGAAUUCACAAACAUGGUAUUAUAGUUAGAGAUAAUCUAUAUGUAUAAAAUAAUCAGCAACUAAAGCUUUAAAAUUAAUAAAGACUCCCUGCUGCUGGAAUAACUGCUUCCAAGAGAGAGGGGACCAGCUGUGCGAGAGAAGCUGUGCAAACAGCUUGUUUGAUGAAGGACUUUUAUUUACAUUUUAAUGUUAAAACACUGAAAAAAACAAAACAAACAAACAAAGAAAAAUAAGUAUUCGUCAUUCAGGGUUUAUUUCAGUCAGUGUGCUUUACAGCUGAACGCUGGACAUGGCAUCACUGACCCAAACAGGUCAGCAGCUAGAAAGUGAACUAGCUUUCUAACUAUAUCUAUAUAUCUUUUUUUUUUUUGGGGGGGGGGGGGGGGGGGGCAGUAUAGCUCAUCAUCUGUCUGAAAAAGCUGUUUGAGGUCUCCCACUCCUUUUACAUUUGUCUAUUUAUUUAUUUUUAAAGGUACACUUUGCAAUGACCUUCUGCAAAGUUUAACUAAAGCUGUCACCACCAGGGGGCAGUAUUUUGCUAACUUGUGUAUUGUUUACAGAUGUGUGAAACUGUGAUACUUCUUUUUUAAGCUACACUAAUUUCAACAACGGACUUG